UUCCACACAGGAAGGUCACACCAUCUCUCACUGUUACAAGGGUGAAGAGCUAAUAGAUAUCAAAGUUGAUCUUAAGGCAGAAGAGAGGUAUUUGAGGGAUGAUCAGCAGUCUGAAGAGGUGGAUGGAAUAAUAAGGACAUCAAAGAUCAGUACAGUAGAUGGACGGGAGAUGAGGAAAACCUCAGAGGAU
Molecule: long non-coding RNA, 190 nt
Organism: Rana temporaria (common frog)
Lineage: Eukaryota; Metazoa; Chordata; Amphibia; Anura; Ranidae
Exons: 3
Source: RefSeq, a predicted model, not a curated record